Long non-coding RNA from Bubalus bubalis (water buffalo), 319 nucleotides. RefSeq lists it as uncharacterized. NCBI's taxonomy places the organism in Eukaryota, Metazoa, Chordata, Mammalia, Artiodactyla, Bovidae. The transcript is spliced from 3 exons. The record is from RefSeq and is a predicted model, not a curated record.
GUGACUAACACACAUGCAGGCCCGGCAGGGAGGCAUUAAAGCAGGAGGCGAGCUCGGGCCCCGGUCGGUGGGUUCCAGGUAGACACAGGAGAAGAGCCCACGUGAUACAUCAAGGGGCUUGCAGGACUGGAAGAACUUGCUUCUGGAUCUUAAUGGGUAAGAGGGUGUCAGGUAGGCGUGGCCCUGUGAGUGUCGUCAGGAAGCCAUGUCCGUGUUAUCUCUGUGCGUGGACGGUGCAGAGGUCCAGCGGCUCCAGGCUCAGCUAGUAGGGAAUCCGCCUGCAGUGUGGGAGACCUGGGCUCGAUCCCUGGGUCAGGAA